AGUGAACGCUGGCGGUAGGCCUAACACAUGCAAGUCGAACGGCAGCACAGUAAGAGCUUGCUCUUACGGGUGCCGAGUGGCGGACGAGUGAGGAAUACAUCGGAAUCUACUUUUUCGUGGGGGAUAACGUAGGGAAACUUACGCUAAUACCGCAUACGACCUACGGGUGGAAGCAGGGGAUCUUCGGACCUUGCGCGAUUGAAUGAGCCGAUGUCGGAUUAGCUAGUUGGCGGGGUAAAGGCCCACCAAGGCGACGAUCCGUAGCUGGUCUGAGAGGAUGAUCAGCCACACUGGAACUGAGACACGGUCCAGACUCCUACGGGAGGCAGCAGUGGGGAAUAUUGGACAAUGGGCGCAAGCCUGAUCCAGCCAUACCGCGUGGGUGAAGAAGGCCUUCGGGUUGUAAAGCCCUUUUGUUGGGAAAGAAAAGCAGCAGGUUAAUACCCCGCUGUUCUGACGGUACCCAAAGAAUAAGCACCGGCUAACUUCGUG
Molecule: ribosomal RNA, 492 nt
Filed under: uncultured bacterium
Lineage: Bacteria
Description: partial 16S ribosomal RNA
Rfam family: Bacterial small subunit ribosomal RNA
Source: RNAcentral